RNAcentral lists this ribosomal RNA (500 nucleotides) under uncultured bacterium. RNAcentral describes it as "bacterial SSU rRNA". It matches the Rfam family "Bacterial small subunit ribosomal RNA", at positions 8 to 526 of the family's 1533-position model. The record is from RNAcentral.
AGGGUUUGAUCAUGGCUCAGGACGAACGCUGGCGGCAUGCCUAACACAUGCAAGUCGAACGAGAAAGUUCCUUCGGGAGCAAUUAAAGUGGCGCACGGGUGAGUAACGCGUAGACAAUCUGCCCUUCAGUCUGGGACAACUUUUCGAAAGGAGAGCUAAUACCGGAUAACAAUGCAUGACACAAGUUGUAUAUUUGAAAGCUUUAUGUGCUGAAGGAGGGGUCUGCGUCCCAUUAGCUAGUUGGUAAGGUAAAGGCUUACCAAGGCAACGAUGGGUAGCGGGUUUGAGAGGACGAUCCGCCACACUGGAACUGAGACACGGUCCAGACUCCUACGGGAGGCAGCAGUGGGGAAUAUUGCACAAUGGAGGAAACUCUGAUGCAGCAAUGUCGCGUGAGUGAAGAAGGCCCUUGGGUCGUAAAGCUCUUUUAUGGGGGAAGAUGAUGACGGUACCCCAAGAAUAAGCACCGGCUAACUAUGUGCCAGCAGCCGCGGUAAUAC